UACGUAGGUGGCGAGCGUUGUCCGGAUUUACUGGGCGUAAAGCGCGCGCAGGCGGUUCUGUAAGUCCUGGGUGAAAUCGCCCGGCUCAACUGGGCGGGGGCCUGGGGGACUGCGGGACUGGAGGGGCCUAGAGGCCGGUGGAACUCCCGGUGUAGUGGUGAAAUGCGUAGAGAUCGGGAAGAACACCAGUGGCGAAGGCGGCCGGCUGGGGGCGCCCUGACGCUGAGGCGCGAGAGCGUGGGAAGCGAACCGG
This 253-nucleotide ribosomal RNA is filed under the name uncultured bacterium. RNAcentral describes it as "partial 16S ribosomal RNA". It matches the Rfam family "Bacterial small subunit ribosomal RNA", at positions 524 to 776 of the family's 1533-position model. The record is from RNAcentral.